UACAGAGGGUGCGAGCGUUAAUCGGAAUUACUGGGCGUAAAGGGUGCGUAGGUGGUUUAAUAAGUCAGAUGUGAAAUCCCCGGGCUCAACCUGGGAACUGCAUUUGAAACUAUUAGGCUAGAGUACGGUAGAGGGAAGUGGAAUUUCCGGUGUAGCGGUGAAAUGCGUAGAUAUCGGAAGGAACAUCAGUGGCGAAGGCGACUUCCUGGACCGCAACUGACACUGAGGCACGAAAGCGUGGGGAGCAAACAGG
Molecule: ribosomal RNA, 253 nt
Filed under: uncultured bacterium
Lineage: Bacteria
Description: partial 16S ribosomal RNA
Rfam family: Bacterial small subunit ribosomal RNA
Source: RNAcentral